GUGGGGAAUCUUCCGCAAUGGACGAAAGUCUGACGGAGCGACGCCGCGUGAGUGAAGAAGGCCUUCGGGUCGUAAAGCUCUGUCAUCAGGGACGAACGGCCGGUGGAGUGGAAAGCCACCGGAUUGACGGUACCUGAGAAGGAAGCCACGGCUAACUACGUGCCAGCAGCCGCGGUAAUACGUAGGUGGCAAGCGUUGUCCGGAAUUAUUGGGCGUAAAGCGCGCGCAGGUGGGAUCUUAAGUCCAUUUUGAAAGUUCGGAGCUCAACUCCGUGAUGGGAUGGAAACUGGGAUUCUUGAGUACCGGAGAGGAAAGCGGAAUUCCCCGUGUAGCGGUGAAAUGCGUAGAUAUGGGGAGGAACACCAGUGGCGAAGGCGGCUUUCUGGACGAUGUCUGACACUGAGGCGCGAAAGCCAGGGGAGCGAACGGGAUUAGAAACCCCUGUAGUCC
Molecule: ribosomal RNA, 450 nt
Filed under: uncultured bacterium
Lineage: Bacteria
Description: partial 16S ribosomal RNA
Rfam family: Bacterial small subunit ribosomal RNA
Source: RNAcentral